UACGGAGGGUGCAAGCGUUGUUCGGAAUCACUGGGCGUAAAGGGCGUGUAGGCGGCCUGUUAAGUCCGAUGUGAAAUCCCCUCGCUCAACGAGGGAACUGCGUCGGAAACUGGCAGGCUAGAGUACCGGAGAGGAAGGUGGAAUUCCCGGUGUAGCGGUGAAAUGCGUAGAUAUCAGGAAGAACACCGGUGGCGAAGGCGGCUCGCUGGGCCAGUUCUGACACUCAUCCGCGAAAGCGUGGGGAGCAAACAGG
Molecule: ribosomal RNA, 253 nt
Filed under: uncultured bacterium
Lineage: Bacteria
Description: partial 16S ribosomal RNA
Rfam family: Bacterial small subunit ribosomal RNA
Source: RNAcentral